RNAcentral lists this transfer RNA (75 nucleotides) under Planctomycetota bacterium. RNAcentral's name for it is "Planctomycetes bacterium tRNA-Gln". It matches the Rfam family "tRNA". Rfam says of the family: Transfer RNA (tRNA) molecules are approximately 80 nucleotides in length. Their secondary structure includes four short double-helical elements and three loops (D, anti-codon, and T loops). The record is from RNAcentral. Lineage: Bacteria; Pseudomonadati; Planctomycetota.
UACCCCGUGGUGUAAUUGGCAGCACACUUGGUUUUGGUCCAAGCGGUUCAGGUUCAAGUCCUGGCGGGGUAACCA